GGGCGAUUAGCUCAGGUGGUUAGAGUACCGGUUUCACAUACCGGGGGUCACUGGUUCAAGUCCAGUAUCGCCCA
RNAcentral lists this transfer RNA (74 nucleotides) under Candidatus Zhuqueibacterota bacterium. RNAcentral describes it as "candidate division KSB1 bacterium (marine metagenome) tRNA-Val". It matches the Rfam family "tRNA". Rfam says of the family: Transfer RNA (tRNA) molecules are approximately 80 nucleotides in length. The record is from RNAcentral. Lineage: Bacteria; Pseudomonadati.